CUACUGUACUGGCUGGUGAAUGGCUCGGCUCGAGAGCCGACGACGGACGUGCCAAGCUGCGAAAAGCCUGAGGGAGUCGCAU
This 82-nucleotide ribosomal RNA is filed under the name Halobellus clavatus. RNAcentral describes it as "23S rRNA. Archaeal LSU". It matches the Rfam family "Archaeal large subunit ribosomal RNA", at positions 11 to 91 of the family's 2987-position model. Lineage: Archaea; Methanobacteriati; Methanobacteriota; Halobacteria; Halobacteriales; Haloferacaceae. The record is from RNAcentral.